GACUCAGUGGUCGAAUGGUAAAAUGUUCGCUGAGGAUCCAGAGAGUCCUAGUUUCAAUCCCUGAUGGAGUCG
Molecule: transfer RNA, 72 nt
Filed under: Schistosoma japonicum
Lineage: Eukaryota; Metazoa; Platyhelminthes; Trematoda; Strigeidida; Schistosomatidae
Description: tRNA-OTHER
Source: RNAcentral